RNAcentral lists this ribosomal RNA (477 nucleotides) under uncultured bacterium. RNAcentral's name for it is "bacterial SSU rRNA". It matches the Rfam family "Bacterial small subunit ribosomal RNA", at positions 405 to 896 of the family's 1533-position model. The record is from RNAcentral.
GGGAUGAAGGCCUUCGGGUUGUAAACCGCUUUCAGCAGGGACGAAAUUGACGGUACCUGCAGAAGAAGCCCCGGCCAACUACGUGCCAGCAGCCGCGGUAACACGUAGGGGGCGAGCGUUGUCCGGAUUUAUUGGGCGUAAAGAGCUCGUAGGCGGCUCAGUAAGUCAGCUGUGAAAGCUCCGGGCUCAACCCGGAGAAGCCAGCUGAUACUGCUGUGGCUAGAGUCCAGUAGGGGAGCGUGGAACUCCUGGUGUAGCGGUGAAAUGCGCAGAUAUCAGGAAGAACACCAGCGGCGAAGGCGGCGCUCUGGGCUGGAACUGACGCUGAGGAGCGAAAGCGUGGGUAGCAAACAGGAUUAGAUACCCUGGUAGUCCACGCCGUAAACGUUGGGCACUAGGUGUGGGACCUUUCCAACAGGUUCCGUGCCGUAGCUAACGCAUUAAGUGCCCCGCCUGGGGAGUACGGCCGCAAGGCUA